RNAcentral lists this ribosomal RNA (330 nucleotides) under Potamites ocellatus (common stream lizard). RNAcentral's name for it is "partial 12S ribosomal RNA". It matches the Rfam family "Bacterial small subunit ribosomal RNA", at positions 867 to 1366 of the family's 1533-position model. Lineage: Eukaryota; Metazoa; Chordata; Lepidosauria; Squamata; Gymnophthalmidae. The record is from RNAcentral.
GUCCGCCAGAAAAUUACGAGCGAAAGCCUAAAACUCAAAAGACUUGACGGUGUCCCAACCUACCUAGAGGAGCCUGUUCCAUAAUCGACAACCCACGUUAUACCUAACCACCUUUAGACAUUACAGCCUAUAUACCGCCGUCGCACAGCCUACCUUUCAAAAGAACAUAAGUAGGCUAAAUAGUAAAAUACUAAUAAGUCAGGUCAAGGUGUAGCUCAUAAGGUGGAGGAAAUGGGCUACAUUAUUUAUAUUAAAUUAUACGAACUAAAUCACUGAAAAAGAAAAUGAAGGCGGAUUUAGCAGUAAUUUAAACAAGAAAAUUUAAAUUAA